GUACACUCCUACGGGAGGCAGCAGUGGGGAAUAUUGCACAAUGGGCGCAAGCCUGAUGCAGCCAUGCCGCGUGUAUGAAGAAGGCCUUCGGGUUGUAAAGUACUUUCAGCGGGGAGGAAGGCGAUAAGGUUAAUAACCUUGUCGAUUGACGUUACCCGCAGAAGAAGCACCGGCUAACUCCGUGCCAGCAGCCGCGGUAAUACGGAGGGUGCAAGCGUUAAUCGGAAUUACUGGGCGUAAAGCGCACGCAGGCGGUCUGUCAAGUCGGAUGUGAAAUCCCCGGGCUCAACCUGGGAACUGCAUUCGAAACUGGCAGGCUAGAGUCUUGUAGAGGGGGGUAGAAUUCCAGGUGUAGCGGUGAAAUGCGUAGAGAUCUGGAGGAAUACCGGUGGCGAAGGCGGCCCCCUGGACAAAGACUGACGCUCAGGUGCGAAAGCGUGGGGAGCAAACAGGAUUAGAUACCCGUGUAGUCCCA
RNAcentral lists this ribosomal RNA (475 nucleotides) under uncultured organism. Its description in RNAcentral is "partial 16S ribosomal RNA". It matches the Rfam family "Bacterial small subunit ribosomal RNA", at positions 331 to 797 of the family's 1533-position model. The record is from RNAcentral.